RNAcentral lists this ribosomal RNA (292 nucleotides) under uncultured bacterium. RNAcentral's name for it is "partial 16S ribosomal RNA". It matches the Rfam family "Bacterial small subunit ribosomal RNA", at positions 505 to 796 of the family's 1533-position model. The record is from RNAcentral.
GUGUCAGCAGCCGCGGUAAUACGAAGGGGGCGAGCGUUGUUCGGAAUUACUGGGCGUAAAGGGCGCGUAGGCGGCCGAUCAAGUCAGAUGUGAAAGUCCUGGGCUUAACCUGGGGACUGCAUUUGAUACUGAUUGGCUUGAAUGCAGGAGAGGAUAGCGGAAUUCCCAGUGUAGAGGUGAAAUUCGUAGAUAUUGGGAAGAACACCGGUGGCGAAGGCGGCUAUCUGGACUGUGAUUGACGCUGAGGCGCGAAAGCGUGGGGAGCAAACAGGAUUAGAUACCCUGGUAGUCC